UACGUAGGUGGCAAGCGUUGUCCGGAUUUAUUGGGCUUAAAGGGUGCGUAGGCGGUCGUAUAAGUCAGUGCUGAAAUAUCGCGGCUUAACCGGGAGGGUGGCAUUGAUACUGCAUGACUUGAGUAAAGUUGAGGUUGGCGGAAUUGACGGUGUAGCGGUGAAAUGCUUAGAUAUCGUCAAGAACACCUAUUGCGAAGGCAGCUAACUGAGCUUUAACUGACGCUGAGGCACGAAAGUGUGGGGAUCAAACAGG
RNAcentral lists this ribosomal RNA (253 nucleotides) under uncultured bacterium. Its description in RNAcentral is "partial 16S ribosomal RNA". It matches the Rfam family "Bacterial small subunit ribosomal RNA", at positions 524 to 776 of the family's 1533-position model. The record is from RNAcentral.